GGAUUAGAUACCCUGGUAGUCCACGCCGUAAACGAUGUCUACUAGUUGUUGGGGGACUUGAUUCCUUAGUAACGAAGCUAACGCGAUAAGUAGACCGCCUGGGGAGUACGGCCGCAAGGUUAAAACUCAAAUGAAUUGACGGGGGCCCGCACAAGCGGUGGAGCAUGUGGUUUAAUUCGAAGCAACGCGAAGAACCUUACCUACACUUGACAUCCAGAGAACUUGCUAGAGAUAGCUUGGUGCCUUCGGGAGCUCUGAGACAGGUGCUGCAUGGCUGUCGUCAGCUCGUGCCG
Molecule: ribosomal RNA, 293 nt
Filed under: uncultured bacterium
Lineage: Bacteria
Description: partial 16S ribosomal RNA
Rfam family: Bacterial small subunit ribosomal RNA
Source: RNAcentral